CCUACGGGGGGCAGCAGUGAGGAAUAUUGGUCAAUGGACGAGAGUCUGAACCAGCCAAGUAGCGUGAAGGAUGACUGCCCUAUGGGUUGUAAACUUCUUUUAUAUGGGAAUAAAAUGUUCCACGUGUGGGAUUUUGUAUGUACCAUAUGAAUAAGGAUCGGCUAACUCCGUGCCAGCAGCCGCGGUAAUACGGAGGAUCCGAGCGUUAUCCGGAUUUAUUGGGUUUAAAGGGAGCGUAGGUGGAUUGUUAAGUCAGUUGUGAAAGUUUGCGGCUCAACCAUAAAAUUGCAGUUGAAACUGGCAGUCUUGAGUACAGUAGAGGUGGGCGGAAUUCGUGGUGUAGCGGUGAAAUGCUUAGAUAUCACGAAGAACUCCGAUUGCGAAGGCAGUUCACUGGACUGCAACUGACACUGAGGCUCGAAAGUGUGGGUAUCAAACAGGAUUAGAUACCCUAGUAGUC
RNAcentral lists this ribosomal RNA (460 nucleotides) under uncultured bacterium. RNAcentral's name for it is "partial 16S ribosomal RNA". It matches the Rfam family "Bacterial small subunit ribosomal RNA", at positions 338 to 795 of the family's 1533-position model. The record is from RNAcentral.